UGGGGAAUAUUGGACAAUGGGCGAAAGCCUGAUCCAGCCAUGCCGCGUGUGUGAAGAAGGUCUUCGGAUUGUAAAGCACUUUUAAGUUGGGAGGAAGGGCAGUAAGUUAAUACCUUGCUGUUUUGACGUUACCGACAGAAUAAGCACCGGCUAACUUCGUGCCAGCAGCCGCGGUAAUACGAAGGGUGCAAGCGUUAAUCGGAAUUACUGGGCGUAAAGCGCGCGUAGGUGGUUUGAUAAGUUGGAUGUGAAAGCCCCGGGCUCAACCUGGGAAUUGCAUCCAAAACUGUCUGACUAGAGUAUGGCAGAGGGUGGUGAAUUUCCUGUGUAGCGGUGAAAUGCGUAGAUAUAGGAAGGAACACCAGUGGCGAAGGCGACCGCCUGGGCUAAAUACUGACACUNAGGUGCGAAAGCGUGGGGAGCAAACAGGAUUAGAUACCCUGGUAGUCCACGCCGUAAACGAUGUCGACUAGCCGUUGGGAUCCUUGAGAUCUUAGUGGCGCAGCUAACGCAUUAAGUCGACCGCCUGGGGAGUACGGCCGCAAGGUU
Molecule: ribosomal RNA, 549 nt
Filed under: uncultured bacterium
Lineage: Bacteria
Description: partial 16S ribosomal RNA
Rfam family: Bacterial small subunit ribosomal RNA
Source: RNAcentral